Molecule: ribosomal RNA, 497 nt
Filed under: uncultured bacterium
Lineage: Bacteria
Description: partial 16S ribosomal RNA
Rfam family: Bacterial small subunit ribosomal RNA
Source: RNAcentral
GAUGAACGCUGGCGGCGUGCUUAACACAUGCAAGUCGAGCGAACGGACGAGAAGCUUGCUUCUUUGAUGUUAGCGGCGGACGGGUGAGUAACACGUGGAUACCCUACCUAUAUGACUGGUAUAACUUCGGGAAACCGGAGCUAACACCGGAUGAUAUUUUGAACCGCAUGGUUCAAAAGUGAAAGACGGUCUUGCUGUCACUUAUCGAUGGAUCUGCGCUGCAUUAGCUAGUUGGUACGGUAACGGCUUACCAAGGCAACUAUGCAUAGCCGACCUGAGAGAGUGAUCGGCCGCACUAGAGCGGGAACACCGUCAUUGGGCCUGCGAGACGCAGCAGAAGGCAACCUGCGGCAGUAGGGGGGAGCCUUACGCAAUGGCGCCGCGUGUGAGGUAGAGGUCUUCGGAUCGGAAUGCUCGGUUUCUGGUGAAAAACAUAUUUGGAAGGUGCUGAGGACAGCUUGACGGUACCUGAUCAGAAAGCCACGGCUAACUACGUG